RNAcentral lists this long non-coding RNA (680 nucleotides) under Homo sapiens (human). Its description in RNAcentral is "non-protein coding lnc-C10orf113-3:1". Lineage: Eukaryota; Metazoa; Chordata; Mammalia; Primates; Hominidae. The record is from RNAcentral.
GUAAGCAUGACCCCGGAGAUAGAGAGAGUGAGGCGAAACCAGGAGCAGCUGAGUGCGGGCAUGAACUGCGUGUCCAGGAAAUUUGGGACUGUGUUGCUGUACCUUAGCUGUGUUUGCUUAUUCAAGAGAUCUUCAUUAAGUACCCAAAUGUACUGGGCAUUGUCCUGGUCACCCAGACACAAAGAUGGGUAAAAUAUAAGGGAGAACUUCAACGGGGAACUGCAAUUUCUGAUCCACCAGAGCUGAAGAGGGCAAAAGAAAACCAGAAAAACAUCAGCAAUGUGUUUAUUACAGAGGUCAGCUGGGAAGAGCUACCACUUUAAGUGUAACUCCUGAAAUGGAAAGAGUGAAGAAGAAUCAAGAAAAUAUUAGCUCGGUAAAAUAUACCCAGGACCAUAAACAGAUGAAAGGUAGACCAAGUCUGAUUUUAGAUACACCUGCUAUGAGACAUGUUAAAGAAGCACAAAAUCAUAUUUCAAUGGUAGGGUCCAACCAGAUCAUUCUUAAAACAUGCUAAGGAAUGGGCGGAUCCAGUGCACGGAUGGCAUUACUUCACUAUUAAUCCGAUAACUAACAAAGCAUGGAAAUGUGGUUGGCUUGUCUUUUGAGGGAGGGGCAUUUCUAAUCACACUGAAAUGCAGUGGAAACAUUUAGUCUAAUAAAAUGAUUUUUCUCAGUGA